CCUACGGGUGGCAGCAGUGAGGAAUAUUGGUCAAUGGGCGCGAGCCUGAACCAGCCAAGUAGCGUGAAGGAUGACUGCCCUACGGGUUGUAAACUUCUUUUAUAAAGGAAUAAAGUGAGGCACGUGUGCCUUUUUGUAUGUGCUUUCUGAAUAAGGAUCGGCUAACUCCGUGCCAGCAGCCGCGGUAAUACGGGGGGUACUAGCGUUAUCCGGAUUUUAUGGGUUUAAAGGGAGCGUAGAUGGAUUGUUAAGUCAGUUGUGAAAGUUUGCGGCUCAACCGUAAAAUUGCAAUUGAUACUGGCAGUCUUGAGUACAGGUGAGGUAGGCGGAAUUCGUGGUGUAGCGGUGAAAUGCUUAGAUAUUACGAAGAACUCCGAUUGCGAAGGCAGCUUACUAAACUGCCACUGACAUUGAGGCUCGAAAGUGUGGGUAUCAAACAGGAUUAGAUACCCUUGUAGUC
Molecule: ribosomal RNA, 460 nt
Filed under: uncultured bacterium
Lineage: Bacteria
Description: partial 16S ribosomal RNA
Rfam family: Bacterial small subunit ribosomal RNA
Source: RNAcentral